This is a long non-coding RNA of Spodoptera frugiperda (fall armyworm), 222 nucleotides long. RefSeq lists it as uncharacterized. The transcript is spliced from 2 exons. The record is from RefSeq and is a predicted model, not a curated record. Lineage: Eukaryota; Metazoa; Arthropoda; Insecta; Lepidoptera; Noctuidae.
AUCACAAUUUCAAUUGAGCAAGAUUUAUAAAUAAUGUAUCACUUAAGCCUUGAUCUUCUUGAGUUCACUCUCGUACUUGACGGUGUACUUCCUCUCAGGGUCGUACUUGGCCGUCAGCUCGUUCCAGUACUCUUCUUCGUUGUUGAUCAGGUACUCGAUCACACGCCGGGUUCCCUUCUUCUGGGUCUCAGUACAUUUGCCACACUCGUUCUCCAGAGCUUC